Molecule: ribosomal RNA, 1446 nt
Filed under: uncultured bacterium
Lineage: Bacteria
Description: bacterial SSU rRNA
Rfam family: Bacterial small subunit ribosomal RNA
Source: RNAcentral
AGAGUUUGAUCCUGGCUCAGGAUGAACGCUGGCGGUGUGUCUAAGGCAUGCAAGUCGAACGAUUCACUUCGGUGAAGAGUGGCAAACGGGUGAGUAACACAUUGGUAACCUACCUCUCAGACGACCAUAACUCGAAGAAAUUUGAGCUAAUAGUCGAUGGUCUCAUAUGACAUAUGUUGUAUGAGUAAAACUCCGGUGCUGAGAGAGGGGCCUAUGGCCUAUCAGCUUGUUGGUGGUGUAAAAGACUACCAAGGCAACGACGGGUAGCGGGUGUGAGAGCAUGACCCGCCUCAAUGGGACUGAGACACUGCCCAUACUCCUACGGGAGGCUGCAGUCGAGAAUCUUCCGCAAUGCGCGAAAGCGUGACGGAGCGACACCGCGUGGUCGAAGAAGCACUUCGGUGUGUAAAGACCUUUUACCAGGGAUGAACGAUGACAGUACCUGGAGAAUAAGGGGCUGCUAAACUCGUGCCAGCAGCAGCGGUAAUACGAGUGCCCCAAGCGUUAUCCGGAUUUAUUGGGCGUAAAGCGUGUCCAGGUGGUUUGGUAAGUAACUUGUCAAAUCUCAAGGCUCAACUUUGAGACUGCGAGUUAAACUACUAAACUAGAGAACGGGAGAGGCAAACGGAAUGGCCGGUGUAGCAGUAAAAUGCGUUAAUAUCGGUUGGAACACCAAAGGCGAAGGCAGUUUGCUGGAACGUUUCUGACACUCACACACGAAAGCGUGGGUAGCGAAUGGGAUUAGAUACCCCAGUAGUCCACGCCGUAAACGAUGGAUACUAAAUGUUGGCAGUAUCGACCCUGCCAGUGUUGUCUACCUAAGUUAACACCUUAAGUAUCCCGCCUGUGGAGUACGGCCGCAAGGCUAAAACACAAAGGAAUUGACGGGGAUCCGCACAAGCGGUGGAGCAUGUGGUUUAAUUCGACAGUAAGCGAGGAACCUCACCAAGGUUUGACAUCUAGCUGCAAAUCCUCAGAAACGAGGACUUCUUCGAGAGUGCUAGACAGGUGCUGCAUGGUUGUCGUCAGCUCGUGUCGUGAGACGUAUGGUUAAGUCCCUUAACGAGCGCAACCCUCGUCCUAUGUUACUAAUUUCAUAGGAGACUGCCUUGGAUAACAAGGAGGAAGGUGAGGACGACGUCAAAUCAGCAUGGCUCUUACACCUUGGGCUACACACGUGCUACAAUGGCCGGUACAAAGGGGCGCGAAGCGGAAACGUGGAGCAAAUCCCAUCAAAGCCGGUCCCAGUUCGGAUUGAGGUCUGCAACUCGACCUCAUGAAGUUGGAAUCGCUAGUAACCGUGAAUCAGCCUCGUCACGGUGAAUACGUUCUCGGAUCUUGUACACACCGCCCGUCAAGGCAAGGAAGCCGGUAAUACCCGAAUGUCUAGUUUAUCUGGGCAGAAGGUAGGAUUGGUGACAGGGCUUAAGUCGUAACAAGGUAACC